This 494-nucleotide ribosomal RNA is filed under the name uncultured bacterium. RNAcentral's name for it is "partial 16S ribosomal RNA". It matches the Rfam family "Bacterial small subunit ribosomal RNA", at positions 29 to 507 of the family's 1533-position model. The record is from RNAcentral.
ACGAACGCUGGCGGCGUGCCUAAUACAUGCAAGUAGAACGCUGAAGGAGGAGCUUGCUUCUCUGGAUGAGUUGCGAACGGGUGAGUAACGCGUAGGUAACCUGCCUGGUAGCGGGGGAUAACUAUUGGAAACGAUAGCUAAUACCGCAUAAGAGUAGAUGUUGCAUGACAUUUGCUUAAAAGGUGCAAUUGCAUCACUACCAUAUGGACCUGCGUUGUAUUAGCUAGUUGGUGAGGUAACGGCUCACCAAGGCAACGAUACAUAGCCGACCUGAGAGGGUGGUCGGCCACACUGGGACUGAGACACGGCCCAGACUCCUACGGGAGGCAGCAGUAGGGAAUCUUCGGCAAUGGACGGAAGUCUGACCGAGCAACGCCGCGUGAGUGAAGAAGGUUUUCGGAUCGUAAAGCUCUGUUGUAAGAGAAGAACGAGUGUGAGAGUGGAAAGUUCACACUGUGACGGUAUCUUACCAGAAAGGGACGGCUAACUACGUG